Arachis stenosperma is the source of this 880-nucleotide long non-coding RNA. RefSeq lists it as uncharacterized. The transcript is spliced from 4 exons. Lineage: Eukaryota; Viridiplantae; Streptophyta; Magnoliopsida; Fabales; Fabaceae. The record is from RefSeq and is a predicted model, not a curated record.
AACCCUAACCACCACUAAUGUUUCCCUACUCUGACCAAACCCAACCGCAGCAUUAAACAUUUCCAUGGAGAAAAAAAAAACAGAGGAAAGAGAGAGGGGUUGAGGGAGAGAGCGACGGAGGGCUACGCCCUGCUACCGAGCCGCCACCAAACUCGCCGCCCAGCUGUCGUCACGUUACUGCCCAACCACCAUGGUGUCGCUGUUCCCUGAAGCCCGUGUCACUGUCGAGCCUAGACGAGAGAGGAGAGGCCGAGCCUGAACCUUGACGAGCUGGGAAGAACCAGCGCCGCCGCUGUGCCAUCGUCGUGGACACCAUCGCCGCCGUUCGUGCCUCUGAUUCGCACCGUUGUGACUUCUGUCACCGUUAGGCUGUCUGCUGACGUCACCGCCACCAUAACCGCCGUUGCUGGUGACCGCCAGUAGAACCCUUGUCGUCUUGGUCGAGUUCUGGCUAUUGCGGGUCGCGAUUGAAGCUGCUGCUGCUUGGUUCGGUUCCUUCUUAGUUUAUGAGUUGCUAUAGUUGUUGCGAAAGUGGUCUGGAGCUGAGAUUUCGGCUGCUGCGUUGCGGGCCAAAAAAAAAAUGGAGUUUUGUCACAUAAUUGAGUCGCGAUUGAGGUUUUUUCCUUUUCAGGAUAUGAGCGACAGAGCUUUAGAAGAGUUAUAUUCAUUUUCUAUUUAUUCGACAUAGCAAUUUUUGCAAGAGGGAUAUGAAUUUUGAUAUGUUAUUUGUAAGUAUUGUAAUCUGUAUUGUAACGUAUGGAUAGAAGUUUUGAAUAUUCGGUUUUAAGUUUUAAAGAUGCUCAUAUUUUAGUAUUCAAUAUUUUAAAAGUCGUCGUAAUACCCGAGCUAUCAGAGUGACCACUAGAUGAGUAUAAAGAAA